GACGUAGGGCGCGAGCGUUGUCCGGAUUUAUUGGGCGUAAAGAGCUCGUAGGCGGUUUGUCGCGUCGGCUGUGAAAACCCGGGGCUCAACCCCGGGCCUGCAGUCGAUACGGGCAAACUAGAGUGCGGUAGGGGAGACUGGAAUUCCUGGUGUAGCGGUGAAAUGCGCAGAUAUCAGGAGGAACACCGGUGGCGAAGGCGGGUCUCUGGGCCGUAACUGACGCUGAGGAGCGAAAGCGUGGGGAGCGAACAGG
This 253-nucleotide ribosomal RNA is filed under the name uncultured bacterium. Its description in RNAcentral is "partial 16S ribosomal RNA". It matches the Rfam family "Bacterial small subunit ribosomal RNA", at positions 524 to 776 of the family's 1533-position model. The record is from RNAcentral.